RNAcentral lists this ribosomal RNA (1988 nucleotides) under human gut metagenome. RNAcentral's name for it is "bacterial LSU rRNA". It matches the Rfam family "Bacterial large subunit ribosomal RNA", at positions 1 to 1982 of the family's 2925-position model. The record is from RNAcentral.
GAAAGCAAGAAAGGGCGCACGGGGGAUGCCUGUGGCUCUCGGAGGCGAUGAAGGACGUGAUAAGCUGCGAAAAGCCGCGGGGAGAGGCAAAUGCUCCGUGAUCCGCGGAUGUCCGAAUGGGGGAACCCGGCGGUAGCGAUACCGUCACCGCACCUUGGUGGUGUGGAGCGAACGCGGGGAACUGAAACAUCUCAGUACCCGCAGGAAGAGAAAAUAACAAUGAUUGCGCCAGUAGUGGCGAGCGAACGCGCAAGAGCCCAAACCGCGGGUGUCAAGGCACCGCGCGGGGUUGUAGGACCGUCGCCAGUGUGGACUCAGGACGAUAGCGGAACGCGCUGGAAAGCGCGGCCACAGCGGGUGACAGCCCCUUACGCGAAAUCGUCCGGACGACAUCAGACGGCACCUGAGUACCGCGGAGCACGAGGAAUUCUGCGGGAAUCUGCGGGGACCAUCCCGUAAGGCUAAAUACUACCGAGAGACCGAUAGCGCACAAGUACCGUGAGGGAAAGGUGAAAAGAACCUCGAGCAGAGGAGUGAAACAGACCCUGAAACCGUGCGCCUACAAGCGGUGGGAGCCACCCCAGUGUGUGGUGACCGCGUGCCUUUUGCAUAAUGAACCUACGAGUCACCGUCGCCGGCGAGGUUAAGGGCGAGUACGCCCGCAGCCGAAGCGAAAGCGAGUCCGAAGAGGGCGAUUACAGUCAGCGGAGGUGGACGCGAAACCAAGUGAUCUACCCAUGGGCAGGAUGAAGGACGGGUGACUCCGUCUGGAGGUCCGAACCGGUAAGCGUUGAAAAGCUUUCGGAUGACCUGUGGGUAGGAGUGAAAGGCCAAUCAAACUUGGAGAUAGCUCGUACUCCCCGAAAUGUAUUUAGGUGCAGCCUCGGGCGAGAGUGGCGGAGGUAGAGCGACCGAUAGGAUGCGAGGGCUUCACCGCCUAUCAAGUCCUGCCGAACUCCGAAUGCCGCCCACUCGAUGUCCGGGAGUAAGGGCGCGGGUGCUAAGGUCCGCGUCCGAGAGAGGAACAACUCAGACCACCGUCUAAGGCCCCCAAAUCCGGGCCAAGUUGAAGACAAUAACGAAGUGCGGCCGCAGAGACAGCCAGGAUGUUGGCUUGGAAGCAGCCAUUCAUUUAAAGAGUGCGUAACAGCUCACCGGUCGAGCGGCCGCGCAUGGAUAAUAAUCGGGCAUAAGUCCGGUGCCGAAGACGUGGAAUCACAGUUUGUCUGUGAUUGGUAGGGGAGCAUUCCAUACCGUGUUGAAUGCCAGCCUUGAGGCUGACUGGAGCGUAUGGAAAAGCAAAUGUAGGUAUAAGUAACGAUAAAGGGGGCGGAAACCCCCCUCGCCGUAAGACCAAGGUUUCCUGAUCAACGCUAAUCGGAUCAGGGUCAGUCGGGACCUAAGCCGCACCCGCGAGGGGCAGGCGAUGGAAGAAGCGGUUAAUAUUCCGCUACCGGCACUGGCUGCGACGGAGAGACGGAGAAGUGACACGCCCGCGCGCUGACGGAAUAGCGCGUUGAAGGGUGUAGGCGCGGAGGGGCGCAGGCAAAUCCACGCCCCGAGCCGAGACCCGACAGUACAGCGAGCCCCCGGGCGAGCUGACAGCGGCGGUAAUCAUGCUCCCUAGAAAAUCUUCUAAGCCCCAGGCCAGAGCCGCCCGUACCGUAAACCGACACAGGUGGUCGGGUAGAAUAUACCAAGGCGCUCGAGUGAUUCACGGUUAAGGAACUAGGCAAACUGACCCCGUAACUUCGGGAUAAGGGGUCCCGUCCUCCGGGACGGGCGCAGAGAAUAGGUCCAGGCAACUGUUUAACAAAAACACAGGGCUGUGCGAAAUUGAAAGAUGAUGUAUACAGCCUGACACCUGCCCGGUGCCGGAAGGUUAAGAGGAGAGGUCAUCGCGAGAGAAGCCUUGAAUUGAAGCCCCGGUAAACGGCGGCCGUAACUAUAACGGUCCUAAGGUAGCGAAAUUCCUUGUCGGGUAAGUU